AGUGAACGCUGGCGGUAGGCCUAACACAUGCAAGUCGAACGGCAGCACAGUAAGAGCUUGCUCUUACGGGUGGCGAGUGGCGGACGGGUGAGGAAUACAUCGGCAUCUACUUUUUCGUGGGGGAUAACGUAGGGAAACUUACGCUAAUACCGCAUACGACCUACGGGUGAAAUCAGGAGAUCUUCGCACCUUGCGCGAUUGAAUGAGCCGAUGUCGGAUUAGCUAGUUGGCGGGGUAAAGGCCCACCAAGGCGACGAUCCGUAGCUGGUCUGAGAGGAUGAUCAGCCACACUGGAACUGAGACACGGUCCAGACUCCUACGGGAGGCAGCAGUGGGGAAUAUUGGACAAAGGGCGCAAGCCUGAUCCAGCCAUACCGCGUGGGUGAAGAAGGCCUUCGGGUUGUAAAGCCCUUUUGUUGGGAAAGAAAAGCAGCAGGUUAAUACCCCGCUGUUCUGACGGUACCCAAAGAAUAAGCACCGGCUAACUUCGUG
This 492-nucleotide ribosomal RNA is filed under the name uncultured bacterium. RNAcentral describes it as "partial 16S ribosomal RNA". It matches the Rfam family "Bacterial small subunit ribosomal RNA", at positions 29 to 507 of the family's 1533-position model. The record is from RNAcentral.